Molecule: ribosomal RNA, 544 nt
Filed under: uncultured bacterium
Lineage: Bacteria
Description: bacterial SSU rRNA
Rfam family: Bacterial small subunit ribosomal RNA
Source: RNAcentral
AAUAGAUACCCGGGUAGUCCAUGCCGUAAACGUUGGGAACUAGAUGUAGGGCCUGUUCCACGGGUUCUGUGUCGUAGCUAACGCAUUAAGUUCCCCGCCUGGGGAGUACGGCCGCAAGGCUAAAACUCAAAGGAAUUGACGGGGGCCCGCACAAGCGGCGGAGCAUGCGGAUUAAUUCGAUGCAACGCGAAGAACCUUACCAAGGCUUGACAUAUACGGGAACGGGCCAGAAAUGGUCAACUCUUUGGACACUCGUAUACAGGUGGUGCAUGGUUGUCGUCAGCUCGUGUCGUGAGAUGUUCGGUUAAGUCCGGCAACGAGCGCAACCCUCGUCCUAUGUUGCCAGCACGUGAUGGUGGGAACUCAUGGGAUACUGCCGUGGUCAACACGGAGGAAGGUGGGGAUGACGUCAAAUCAUCAUGCCCCUUAUGUCUUGGGCUUCACGCAUGCUACAAUGGCCGGUACAAUGGGCUGCGAUACCGUAAGGUGGAGCGAAUCCCAAAAAGCCGGUCUCAGUUCGGAUUGGGGUCUGCAACUCGACCCC